This 916-nucleotide ribosomal RNA is filed under the name Seimatosporium rhombisporum. RNAcentral describes it as "eukaryotic LSU rRNA". It matches the Rfam family "Eukaryotic large subunit ribosomal RNA", at positions 19 to 955 of the family's 3401-position model. The record is from RNAcentral. Lineage: Eukaryota; Fungi; Ascomycota; Sordariomycetes; Amphisphaeriales; Sporocadaceae.
UUGUGUACCCGGCUGAACUUAAGCAUAUUCAAUAAGCGGAGGAAAAGAAACCAACAGGGAUUGCCCUAGUAACGGCGAGUGAAGCGGCACCAGCUCAAAUUUGAAAUCUGGCCCCUUGGGUCCGAAAUUGUAAUUUGUAGAGGAUGUUUUGGUGCGGUAUCUUCCGAGUUCCUUGGAACAGGACGCCUUAGAGGGUGAGAGCCCCGUACGGUUGAAUGCCUAGCCUUUGUAAAACUCCUUCGACGAGUCGAGUAGUUUGGGAAUGCUGCUCUAAAUGGGAGGUAAAUUUCUUCUAAAGCUAAAUACCGGCCAGAGACCGAUAGCGCACAAGUAGAGUGAUCGAAAGAUGAAAAGCACUUUGAAAAGAGGGUUAAAUAGCACGUGAAAUUGUUGAAAGGGAAGGAUUUAUGACCAGACUUUUUCUAGGCGAAUCAUCCGGUGUUCUCACCGGUGCACUUCGUUUAGUUUAGGCCAGCAUCGAUUUUUGGGGCGGGAUAAAAGCUUCAGGAAUGUGGCUCCUUCGGGAGUGUUAUAGCCUGUUGUAUAAUACCGCCCUGGGGAUCGAGGUACGCGCUUCUGCAAGGAUGCUGGCGUAAUGGUUAUCAAUCACCCGUCUUGAAACACGGACCAAGGAGUCGAACAUUUGUGCAAGUGUUUGGGUGUUAAACCCUCACGCGUAAUGAAAGUGAACGGAGGUGAGAGCCCUUACGGGUGCAUCAUCGACCGAUCCUGAUGUCUUCGGAUGGAUUUGAGUAAGAGCAUAAAUGUUCGGACCCGAAAGAUGGUGAACUAUGCGUGGAUAGGGUGAAGCCAGAGGAAACUCUGGUGGAGGCUGCGCAGCGGUUCUGACGUGCAAAUCCGAUCGUCAAAUCUGCGCAUGGGGGCGAAAGACCUAAUCGAACCCAUCCUCCCUCGU